GGAAGGUCGGCGGCGGACGGGCUCCUCGCCAACCCGGUCAGGUCCGGAAGGAAGCAGCCGUAACGGGUUCUCGCCCGGGUCGCUUGUCGGCCUUCCACC
RNAcentral lists this signal recognition particle RNA (99 nucleotides) under Roseomonas sp. RNAcentral describes it as "signal recognition particle sRNA small type". It matches the Rfam family "Bacterial small signal recognition particle RNA". Rfam says of the family: The signal recognition particle (SRP) is a universally conserved ribonucleoprotein involved in the co-translational targeting of proteins to membranes. Archaeal SRP consists of a 7S RNA and homologues of the eukaryotic SRP19 and SRP54 proteins. Lineage: Bacteria; Pseudomonadati; Pseudomonadota; Alphaproteobacteria; Acetobacterales; Roseomonadaceae. The record is from RNAcentral. RNAcentral also lists the same sequence under 2 other names.